UACGUAGGCAGCGAGCGUUGUUCGGAGUUACUGGGCGUAAAGCGUGCGCAGGCGGUUUUGUAAGUCAGAUGUGAAAUCCCCGGGCUCAACCUGGGAACUGCAUUUGUGACUGCAUAGCUAGAGUUCGGUAGGGGAGUCUGGAAUUCCUGGUGUAGCGGUGAAAUGCGCAGAUAUCAGGAGGAACACCGGUGGCGAAGGCGGGACUCU
RNAcentral lists this ribosomal RNA (207 nucleotides) under uncultured bacterium. RNAcentral describes it as "partial 16S ribosomal RNA". It matches the Rfam family "Bacterial small subunit ribosomal RNA", at positions 524 to 730 of the family's 1533-position model. The record is from RNAcentral.